Molecule: unclassified non-coding RNA, 584 nt
Filed under: Hevea brasiliensis (rubber tree)
Lineage: Eukaryota; Viridiplantae; Streptophyta; Magnoliopsida; Malpighiales; Euphorbiaceae
Source: RNAcentral
AAUAAAAAAAUAAAAAUAAAAAUACUCCUAUCAUGUCUCAGAGAAGGCAAUCAAAAGCUGCUCCACAUAACAGCAAUAUGAAACCUAAAUCCUCAACUAAAAUUAAAACAAGUAAAAUCCAGUUCUAGUUAACUCAUAAGUGUCUUAGUCGUCGAAGAAAAUGAGCAAAAAAGCCAUCUACUUUUUAGUCUUUGCUGGACCAUCGGCGAUGGACAGCUUAGCCAAGUUGUCCCCAGUAGGGUUAAGCUCAUCCCAAGCUUCGAUCCACGUGACCAUAGCAUCUCCUAGCUUGGUGAAAUAGGGAUCGAUCUUGGAAAGUUUUUCCUUAACCUGCUUUGAGAGCUCAAGGUAGCAUUGCUGGACGGUUGUACACUCUUUAGGAAGCGUUGCAGUCUGGAAGAAGGGGAUGAUCUCCUCUUGCCAGAAGAUACCGUUGUACUCCUUUUUGAGGUUAACGAAUGGGUUGCUAGCUUUGCUGUGCCAUAUGUAGGGCAGACCAGUCUUGAUUCCUAGUCCCAAAUGGUCACAUAUGACCUUGGUACACCAGCCGGCCCACAUAUCGUCGUAACGACCAAUUGGCUGAC